AAUUUGAGACAAUGGGGGAAACCCUGAUCCAGCCAUCCCGCGUGUAUGAGGAAGGCCUUCGGGUUNUAAAGUACUUUUGGCAGCGANGACAAGGUAUCUCCUAAUACGAGAUACUGCUGACGGUAUCUGCAGAAUAAGCACCGGCUAACUCCGUGCCAGCAGCCGCGGUAAUACGUAGGGUGCAAGCGUUAAUCGGAAUUACUGGGCGUAAAGCGUGUGUAGGCGGUUCGGAAAGAAAGAGGUGUAAACCCAGGGCUCAACCUUGGAACUGCAUUGUUAGCUGCCGGUCUAGAGUAUGUCAGAGGGGGGUAGAAUACCACGUGUAGCAGUGAAAUGCGUAGAUAUGUGGAGGAAUACCGAUGGCGAAGGCAGCCCCCUGGGAUAAUACUGACGCUCAGACACGAAAGCGUGGGGAGCAAACAGG
This 424-nucleotide ribosomal RNA is filed under the name uncultured bacterium. RNAcentral describes it as "partial 16S ribosomal RNA". It matches the Rfam family "Bacterial small subunit ribosomal RNA", at positions 360 to 776 of the family's 1533-position model. The record is from RNAcentral.